GGGAAACCCAGUGUGACUCGUCACACUAUCAUUAACUGAAUCCAUAGGUUAAUGAGGCGAACCGGGGGAACUGAAACAUCUAAGUACCCCGAGGAAAAGAAAUCAACCGAGAUUCCCCCAGUAGCGGCGAGCGAACGGGGAGGAGCCCAGAGCCUGAAUCAGCAUGUGUGUUAGUGGAAGCGUCUGGAAAGGCGCGCGAUACAGGGUGACAGCCCCGUACACAAAAGCGCAUGUGCUGUGAGCUCGAUGAGUAGGGCGGGACACGUGGUAUCCUGUCUGAAUAUGGGGGGACCAUCCUCCAAGGCUAAAUACUCCUGACUGACCGAUAGUGAACCAGUACCGUGAGGGAAAGGCGAAAAGAACCCCGGCGAGGGGAGUGAAAAAGAACCUGAAACCGUGUACGUACAAGCAGUGGGAGCACAGGUUUACCUGUGUGACUGCGUACCUUUUGUAUAAUGGGUCAGCGACUUAUAUUCUGUAGCAAGGUUAACCGUAUAGGGGAGCCGUAGGGAAACCGAGUCUUAACCGGGCGUUAAGUUGCAGGGUAUAGACCCGAAACCCGGUGAUCUAGCCAUGGGCAGGUUGAAGGUUGGGUAACACUAACUGGAGGACCGAACCGACUAAUGUUGAAAAAUUAGCGGAUGACCUGUGGCUGGGGGUGAAAGGCCAAUCAAACCGGGAGAUAGCUGGUUCUCCCCGAAAGCUAUUUAGGUAGCGCCUCGUGAAUUCAUCUCCGGGGGUAGAGCACUGUUUCGGCUAGGGGGCCAUCCCGGCUUACCAACCCGAUGCAAACUGCGAAUACCGGAGAAUGUUAUCACGGGAGACACACGGCGGGUGCUAACGUCCGUCGUGAAGAGGGAAACAACCCAGACCGCCAGCUAAGGUCCCAAAGUCAUGGUUAAGUGGGAAACGAUGUGGGAAGGCCCAGACAGCCAGGAUGUUGGCUUAGAAGCAGCCAUCAUUUAAAGAAAGCGUAAUAGCUCACUGGUCGAGUCGGCCUGCGCGGAAGAUGUAACGGGGCUAAACCAUGCACCGAAGCUGCGGCAGCGACGCUGAUGCGUUGUUGGGUAGGGGAGCGUUCUGUAAGCCUGUGAAGGUGGCCUGUGAGGGUUGCUGGAGGUAUCAGAAGUGCGAAUGCUGACAUAAGUAACGAUAAAGCGGGUGAAAAGCCCGCUCGCCGGAAGACCAAGGGUUCCUGUCCAACGUUAAUCGGGGCAGGGUGAGUCGACCCCUAAGGCGAGGCCGAAAGGCGUAGUCGAUGGGAAACGGGUUAAUAUUCCCGUACUUGGUGUUACUGCGAAGGGGGGACGGAGAAGGCUAUGUUGGCCGGGCGACGGUUGUCCCGGUUUAAGCGUGUAGGUGUGUGUUCCAGGUAAAUCCGGUUCACUUUAACACUGAGGCGUGAUGACGAGGCACUACGGUGCUGAAGCAACAAAUGCCCUGCUUCCAGGAAAAGCCUCUAAGCAUCAGGUAACAUCAAAUCGUACCCCAAACCGACACAGGUGGUCAGGUAGAGAAUACCAAGGCGCUUGAGAGAACUCGGGUGAAGGAACUAGGCAAAAUGGUGCCGUAACUUCGGGAGAAGGCACGCUGACACGUAGGUGAAGUGAUUUACUCAUGGAGCUGAAGUCAGUCGAAGAUACCAGCUGGCUGCAACUGUUUAUUAAAAACACAGCACUGUGCAAACACGAAAGUGGACGUAUACGGUGUGACGCCUGCCCGGUGCCGGAAGGUUAAUUGAUGGGGUCAGCGCAAGCGAAGCUCCUGAUCGAAGCCCCGGUAAACGGCGGCCGUAACUAUAACGGUCCUAAGGUAGCGAAAUUCCUUGUCGGGUAAGUUCCGACCUGCACGAAUGGCGUAAUGAUGGCCAGGCUGUCUCCACCCGAGACUCAGUGAAAUUGAACUCGCUGUGAAGAUGCAGUGUACCCGCGGCAAGACGGAAAGACCCCGUGAACCUUUACUAUAGCUUGACACUGAACAUUGAGCCUUGAUGUGUAGGAUAGGUGGGAGGCUUUGAAGCGUGGACGCCAGUCUGCAUGGAGCCGGCCUUGAAAUACCACCCUUUAAUGUUUGAUGUUCUAACGUGGACCCGUGAUCCGGGUUGCGGACAGUGUCUGGUGGGUAGUUUGACUGGGGCGGUCUCCUCCUAAAGAGUAACGGAGGAGCACGAAGGUUGGCUAAUCCUGGUCGGACAUCAGGAGGUUAGUGCAAUGGCAUAAGCCAGCUUGACUGCGAGCGUGACGGCGCGAGCAGGUGCGAAAGCAGGUCAUAGUGAUCCGGUGGUUCUGAAUGGAAGGGCCAUCGCUCAACGGAUAAAAGGUACUCCGGGGAUAACAGGCUGAUACCGCCCAAGAGUUCAUAUCGACGGCGGUGUUUGGCACCUCGAUGUCGGCUCAUCACAUCCUGGGGCUGAAGUAGGUCCCAAGGGUAUGGCUGUUCGCCAUUUAAAGUGGUACGCGAGCUGGGUUUAGAACGUCGUGAGACAGUUCGGUCCCUAUCUGCCGUGGGCGCUGGAGAACUGAGGGGGGCUGCUCCUAGUACGAGAGGACCGGAGUGGACGCAUCACUGGUGUUCGGGUUGUCAUGCCAAUGGCACUGCCCGGUAGCUAAAUGCGGAAGAGAUAAGUGCUGAAAGCAUCUAAGCACGAAACUUGCCCCGAGAUGAGUUCUCCCUGAGACUUAGAGUCUCCUGAAGGAACGUUGAAGACGACGACGUUGAUAGGCCGGGUGUGUAAGCGCAGCGAUGCGUUGAGCUAACCGGUACUAAUGAACCGUGAGGCUUAACCUU
This 2787-nucleotide ribosomal RNA is filed under the name Salmonella enterica subsp. enterica serovar Choleraesuis. RNAcentral describes it as "partial 23S ribosomal RNA". It matches the Rfam family "Bacterial large subunit ribosomal RNA". The record is from RNAcentral. Lineage: Bacteria; Pseudomonadati; Pseudomonadota; Gammaproteobacteria; Enterobacterales; Enterobacteriaceae.